RNAcentral lists this ribosomal RNA (497 nucleotides) under Mantidactylus marintsoai. RNAcentral describes it as "partial large subunit ribosomal RNA". It matches the Rfam family "Bacterial large subunit ribosomal RNA", at positions 1942 to 2606 of the family's 2925-position model. Lineage: Eukaryota; Metazoa; Chordata; Amphibia; Anura; Mantellidae. The record is from RNAcentral.
CUAACCGCGCGAAGGUAGCAUAAUCACUUGUUCUUUAAAUGGGGACUUGUAUCAACGGCAUCACGAGGGUUAUACUGUCUCCUUUUUCCAAUCAGUGAAACUAAUCUCCCCGUGAAGAAGCGGGGAUACAAUUAUAAGACGAGAAGACCCCAUGGAGCUUCAAACCCAACUACACCCCUAAUUCCUACAACUUCUAAACCAUUGGGGCCCUGUAACAUUGGUUUUAGGCUGGGGCGACCACGGAGUACAACGAAUCCUCCACAAUGAACGGAGCUACUUCCUUAUCUAAGAGCUACACCUCUAAGAAUUAAUACAUUAACAUAAAAUGAUCCUUUUCUGAUCAAUGAACCAAGUUACCCUGGGGAUAACAGCGCAAUCCACUUCAAGAGCCCGUAUCGACAAGUGGGUUUACGACCUCGAUGUUGGAUCAGGGUAUCCUAGUGGUGCAGCAGCUACUAAUGGUUCGUUUGUUCAACGAUUAAAACCCUACGUGAUCU